CGGGAUGACGGCCUCGGGUUGUAACCGCUUUCAGCAGGGACGAAGCAACACGUGACGGUACCUGCAGAAGAAGCACCGGCCAACUACGUGC
RNAcentral lists this ribosomal RNA (91 nucleotides) under uncultured bacterium. Its description in RNAcentral is "partial 16S ribosomal RNA". The record is from RNAcentral.